GGAGGGAUGGCCGAGCGGACGAAGGCGUCGGUCUUGAAAACCGAUGGGCCCGGCGACGGGUCUCGUGGGUUCGAAUCCCACUCCCUCCG
This 89-nucleotide transfer RNA is filed under the name bacterium. Its description in RNAcentral is "tRNA-Ser". It matches the Rfam family "tRNA". Rfam says of the family: Transfer RNA (tRNA) molecules are approximately 80 nucleotides in length. The record is from RNAcentral.